AGCGGAGGAAAAGAAACUAACGAGGAUUCCCUUAGUAACUGCGAGUGAACGGGGAAAAGCCCAUCGCUGAAUCCUUCAGCCACUGGCUGCUAGGAAUUGUAGCGUAUAGGUGCGGCUGUCCGUUCGUUCGGCACCCAAAUGCCCUA
Molecule: ribosomal RNA, 146 nt
Filed under: Baylisascaris transfuga (bear roundworm)
Lineage: Eukaryota; Metazoa; Nematoda; Chromadorea; Rhabditida; Ascarididae
Description: partial 28S ribosomal RNA
Rfam family: Eukaryotic large subunit ribosomal RNA
Source: RNAcentral